This 3552-nucleotide ribosomal RNA is filed under the name Triticum aestivum (bread wheat). RNAcentral's name for it is "partial small subunit ribosomal RNA". Lineage: Eukaryota; Viridiplantae; Streptophyta; Magnoliopsida; Poales; Poaceae. The record is from RNAcentral.
GCUUCUGGGUGGGUUUUCUGAAGGGUUCGUGUCGGCGGCUCUACCGGUAGCGGCUCUGCCGUCGCCGCCACCGCUGCUGCUGCUGCUGCAGGCUGUGUCGCGGGUACAGGGGCCGGAGACGCUUCCGGCCCCGCCGCUAGCCAGGCCGCUGCCCGCGCUGCGCCGCGCCCACCGACGCGGCCGAGCACGGCGCCCUCAUGGACGGGGCAUCGGCGGCCACCUUCUGGGCGCCGCGACCGCCGGGGCCACGACGACUCCGGCGCUUACCCCCGCCGCGCCGCCCCGGCAGAAGCAUGGCCUCCGACCGCAGCAGCGACAGCGCCAGCAAGGCCACCUUCGCCUACGGCCGCGAGGGCAGGGAGUCGGACGCGCGGCCGAGCCGCAGCCGCCGCGACCUGCUCCACCGGAAGGCGCAGUACAUGCACCAGCUCCGGCAGCACGAGCCGGAGCGCGAGAGGACGAAGAAGGAAACGACGCCGACGGUGUAGAUCGGACGGCGGUCGGUACAUAAGAGACAAUGACAAACAAUCAACGAGAGCCAAGAAACCAAUCAUUAAAAAAGCAAAAGUAGCUAGCAGAUGAAUGAGACGACAUUUAAAAGGUGGCACUCCUUUUAGGUACCUUUUUAAGGGUUAGACGAGUUCUACUAAAGGCAGCAAACCCCUACUUGCCUACUACCUACCACACUACGUUAAAAUCAAAAACCUCGGCCCUCAACAAAUAAUGUUCCAGACAGCGACAGAGCACGUUUACGAACGUGCUGCUGCUGUUUUUUUAGAUCGAAACCAAUCAACCCCUAACCCUCACUUCCUCCUGACGUUCUUCUCCAGUACCGGUACCUCCUCCGCUGUCGCUGCCGCAAACCGAAGGGCCGCCUCCACGCCGGCCCCCGGUGCGCCCACCCCACCCAGCCGUAGCCGCAGUACCCGCCGCGGUACCGGCGCGCGGAGGAGCGGCGGCCCAUGCGCCACUGCCGGAUGCGCGCGUGCGGCCGGUUCCGCCCCCCGGACCAGCGGCGGCCUCGCGCGGAGCGCCUGAGCGGCCGGAGGCACCGGCGCCGGAGGCUGCACCAGAAGUGGUACCAGCCGUUGGGGCCGCUGCAGGCGCGGCAGCAGGACCUGCGUCGGAGCCCGCGGGAGCGCCCCGAGGCGGGGCCGCCGCACGAGCACCUGACGUGGUCGAGGAGGGGGAGGGAGCGCGCGCUCCAGCGGCGCCGGCGCGCGCGGCGGCCGACGGUGCGGCACCUGACGGGGCAGAGGCCGCCGCUGCAGCCGCGCGCGCUGCCGUGCGAGCGGGAGGAGCGGCCGCCCCUGCUCCGGCACCACCGCACCGAGCGGGGCGAGAAGCGGGUGGAGCCGUCCGGCUGGAUGUACCCGGGCGGGCCGUCGCCGGUCUCGUCGUUCUAGCGCUUGGUCUAGCGCCACCGCCCGCGCCACCAGCCGGAGCCGCUCAGGGACCGGAAGCGGCCGCGGCGGCCCGACCUGCUCGCCGACAAGGAGCCGCGCCACAGGUUCCCGCGGCGCCCCAGCGCGCACUACCUGUAGAAGCCGCUCGCGCGCGACUCGGCGCUGAAGUGCAGGCCCCCGCGGCACGCCAUGUAGUAGUUCCUGGAGCCGUACCGCGACCUCCAGCCGCUGCCGGUCCUCCUCCUACUCCAGUUGCACGACGGUCCCAGCCGCGACAUGGCCGUCUACAAGAGCCGGUACCGCCGCUUGCCGCUGCCGCUCGACACGGACGUCCCUGACUAGUGGCAGCAGCUCGCGGACUUGCCGUAGGCGUUCACUCCGUCCCGUCCACAAGCAGUUUUACGCCAUCGCCCUAUACAUAGAGUACCAGUACAUAAUAAUCUAAAGGACCAGUUUUAAGUUAGAGAUACAGUAUAAAAAUUGGUUGCUAAACACCUACGAUAGUAGCUAGUAUGACAAUAGUACGAAAUGAGCGACUAAACACCUACGAUAAGAACAAAUAACAACUACAAGUGUGGUCAUUAAGUCAAGAAAAAUGGUUCACUCCAUGAGACUACUUAAUGGUUGGGUUCUAUGUCUAAGUAUAGACGGAAAAAUGUAAACGUAGAGGUUUUCUUUUGGUUCCUUCAUCGUCACUCGUUUUUAACUCUGCUACGACGUGUACCGUAGAAGAUAAGUCUACUACCCUACACUAUGAUUAGACUGUCGGUUCCUCGUUAAACGUUUGGAACAUUUUAAGGUUCCCGGAAAGCGGGUUGGUUGGUACACUCUAAAGGUCCACAGACAGUCCAUAAACGUGGCACGUUCUAUCGUAUAGAUGUGGCCUCGGAAAGGGACACGUCACGUGACGAAGUCAGAGGAAUAGAGAAAGUGAGGGUGUUUGGAAGUCGUCGUUCUUACCGUCGCGGCCCGAGCGAUCCUGAAGAGGUCCGCGGCAGGAAGCGGCGCCGGUUCACGGCAGGCCACUGCCGGUGCUCGGCCCCUCGCCGUGCUCGGCACAAGCGGCAGGCGCGGAGCCGUCGAAGACGCCGGUGGUUCCUGCGUCAAGAGUCCGGGAAGGCACUCUUGUCCCGAGAGUUCUAGUAAAGCCCCGAAGUCUUGAAGCUGUCCAGGUUACAACGCAGACAGCAGUGCCGACGCCUAUUCCCUCCACGAUGGGUACAACUAUAUCGUACACUGGUCCUGAACCAUUUCGAACGCGACCUCGAAUGAUUGGAAGGCUAUACACAUAGCAGACAACUGGGAAGUAGUAAGGUUAGACGCCAUCUUCGACCACGCGUUUACUAACUCUAACCUUUGAUACUAAGGAAAAUGCUACGUCCGUAGCUUAAGAGAAGACUCGUUUAUGACUUGAACUGUUCCCUCUGUUCCUUCUAUGAAGGUCUGUAGUGUAACAGUCAUUGUCAAGGAGUGUGAGACUCGGAGGGUCUAGUCUACUCUGAACGUCUCGAUGAACUUCUCCUUCCACGGCUAUAGUAGGUCUGACUUCCACCCUUCACAAGAUUAGGCUGUUUCGGACCCCACGAACCGGAUUAACUUUUCCGUUGUGGUUGUAACCGUCGGCGUAUGAGGUAGAGGUCUCGGCAGUCGUAUGGCCACUACACGCGCAGCCCCGAUUCAAGUCAAUGACGUGGUUACCGUCAUUGGCGUCCUCGACGGCCGCACCCUCAACCGAGACGCUAAUUGUUCGAGUUGCUGCAGCAGCGCUACUAGCGGCUCCACUCCUCGUAGCGUCUCCGAGACCCCUGCUGCCGAAGCUCCUUACACAGGCUCCUGGACUCUUCUCAAGUGUUAAUCAUAAUGAUAAGAUCCAGCUGUGCCGAAAAGAGACCUGUUUGAGCUCUUCAGUCAUUCCUUAGUCCUCUACAUCAAGGUCGUCAAAUCGUAAAGAGGACAGACGAUCGGAAACACGUCUAGAUCUCUUCUAACGGACUUUCUCGAUUCUAUUGAUUUAGCCAAAUGCGGAAGGAGAAAUAAAUAAAACGUAUAAUAUAGAUAUCUUAACCUUCUAUAAGAACGACCACUAUACUGGACUCGGAAACUUCUGUCACUAUUUCGAUGAAACUUAUAGCUCGAUCGUCCCCAG